CUCGGCAACGGAUAUCUCGGCUCUCGCAUCGAUGAAGAACGUAGCGAAAUGCGAUACUUGGUGUGAAUUGCAGAAUCCCGUGAACCAUCGAGUCUUUGAACGCAAGUUGCGCCCCACGCCAUUCGGCCGAGGGCACGUCUGCCUGGGUGUCACGC
This 155-nucleotide ribosomal RNA is filed under the name Cuphea subuligera. RNAcentral's name for it is "5.8S ribosomal RNA". It matches the Rfam family "5.8S ribosomal RNA". Rfam says of the family: 5.8S ribosomal RNA (5.8S rRNA) is a component of the large subunit of the eukaryotic ribosome. It is transcribed by RNA polymerase I as part of the 45S precursor that also contains 18S and 28S rRNA. Lineage: Eukaryota; Viridiplantae; Streptophyta; Magnoliopsida; Myrtales; Lythraceae. The record is from RNAcentral.